GACGGAGGAGGCAAGCGGUAUGCGGAAUUAUAGGGCGAAAAGGGUACGUAGGCGGCUGGCCAAGUCUGGGGUCAAAGGCCACAGCUCAACUGUGGGAAGGCCCUGGAAACUGACCGGCUAGAGUGAGGUAGGGGUUGCGGGAAUUCCCGGUGUAGCGGUGAAAUGCGUAGAGAUCGGGAAGAACACCUGAGGCGGAAGCGCGCAACUGGGCCUCAACUGACGCUGAGGUACGAAAGCUAGGGGAGCGAAUGGG
Molecule: ribosomal RNA, 253 nt
Filed under: uncultured bacterium
Lineage: Bacteria
Description: partial 16S ribosomal RNA
Rfam family: Bacterial small subunit ribosomal RNA
Source: RNAcentral